CCUACGGGAGGCAGCAGUGGGGAAUUUUGGACAAUGGGCGAAAGCCUGAUCCAGCCAUUCCGCGUGCAGGAUGAAGGCCCUCGGGUUGUAAACUGCUUUUGUACAGAACGAAAAGGUUUCUAUUAAUACUAGGAGCUCAUGACGGUACUGUAAGAAUAAGCACCGGCUAACUACGUGCCAGCAGCCGCGGUAAUACGUAGGGUGCAAGCGUUAAUCGGAAUUACUGGGCGUAAAGCGUGCGCAGGCGGUUAUACAAGUCAGAUGUGAAAUCCCCGGGCUCAACCUGGGAACUGCAUUUGAGACUGUAUAGCUAGAGUACGGUAGAGGGGGAUGGAAUUCCGCGUGUAGCAGUGAAAUGCGUAGAUAUGCGGAGGAACAUCGAUGGCGAAGGCAAUCCCCUGGACCUGUACUGACGCUCAUGCACGAAAGCGUGGGGAGCAAACAGGAUUAGAUACCCUGGUAGUCCACGCCCUAAACGAUGUCAACUGGUUGUAGGGUCUUAACUGACUCAGUAACGAAGCUAACGCGUGAAGUUGACCGCCUGGGGAGUACGGCCGCAAGGUUGAAACGUCAAAUGAAUUGACGG
RNAcentral lists this ribosomal RNA (586 nucleotides) under uncultured bacterium. RNAcentral describes it as "bacterial SSU rRNA". It matches the Rfam family "Bacterial small subunit ribosomal RNA", at positions 338 to 916 of the family's 1533-position model. The record is from RNAcentral.